This 483-nucleotide ribosomal RNA is filed under the name uncultured bacterium. Its description in RNAcentral is "partial 16S ribosomal RNA". It matches the Rfam family "Bacterial small subunit ribosomal RNA", at positions 28 to 507 of the family's 1533-position model. The record is from RNAcentral.
GACGAACGCUGGCGGCGUGCUUAACACAUGCAAGUCGAACGCUGAAGCUCAGCUUUUGUUGGGUGGAUGAGCGGCGAACGGGUGAGUAACACGUGAGUAGCCUGCCCCCUUCUUUGGGAUAACGCCCGGAAACGGGUGCUAAUACUGGAUAUUCACUGGUCUUCGCAUGGGGGUUGGUGGAAAGGGUUUUUCUGGUGGGGGAUGGGCUCGCGGCCUAUCAGCUUGUUGGUGGGGUGAUGGCCUACCAAGGCUUUGACGGGUAGCCGGCCUGAGAGGGUGACCGGUCACAUUGGGACUGAGAUACGGCCCAGACUCCUACGGGAGGCAGCAGUGGGGAAUACUGCACAAUGGGCGCAAGCCUGAUGCAGCGACGCCGCGUGAGGGAUGGAGGCCUUCGGGUUGUGAACCUCUUUCGCUCAUGGUCAAGCCGCAACAAUGGUUGUGGUGAGGGUAGUGGGUAAAGAAGCGCCGGCUAACUACGUG